UUCAGAUCUCAAUCUCAUCUCACACCUGCUCUCUCUCUCUCUCUCUCUCUUCAACCUUGGUGAUACGGCUACUACUCAGAAGGAUCUUACGUCUGUUACUACCGUCAAUGUGUGGUGGUGGUUCUGCGACUCGGCAAUGAAAACGGAUGAAGAAACGAUUUUUGUUGUAGAUGAAGACACGAGCCAAUGAGGUUACACGACUAAGGAAUAU
Molecule: long non-coding RNA, 211 nt
Filed under: Helianthus annuus (common sunflower)
Lineage: Eukaryota; Viridiplantae; Streptophyta; Magnoliopsida; Asterales; Asteraceae
Description: sRNA HanXRQr2_Chr06g0274061
Source: RNAcentral